GCGGGUAUGGUGAAAUUGGUAACCACACUGUGUUUAGGUCGCAGCGCCGCAAGGCUUGUCAGUUCGAGUCUGACUACCCGCACCA
This 85-nucleotide transfer RNA is filed under the name Herbaspirillum frisingense. RNAcentral describes it as "tRNA-Leu". It matches the Rfam family "tRNA". From Rfam's summary of the family: Transfer RNA (tRNA) molecules are approximately 80 nucleotides in length. The record is from RNAcentral. Lineage: Bacteria; Pseudomonadati; Pseudomonadota; Betaproteobacteria; Burkholderiales; Oxalobacteraceae. RNAcentral also lists the same sequence under 1 other name.